GUGUACCAGUUGUCGUGCCAACGGCAUAGCUGGGUAGCUAUGUGUGGACGGGAUAAGUGCUGAAAGCAUCUAAGCAUGAAGCCCCCCUCAAGAUGAGAUUUCCCAACUUCGGUUAUAAGAUCCCUCAAAGAUGAUGAGGUUAAUAGGUUCGAGGUGGAAGCAUGGUGACAUGUGGAGCUGACGAAUACUAAUCGAUCGAAGACUUAAUCAAAA
This 213-nucleotide ribosomal RNA is filed under the name Staphylococcus aureus. RNAcentral's name for it is "partial 23S ribosomal RNA". It matches the Rfam family "Bacterial large subunit ribosomal RNA", at positions 2712 to 2925 of the family's 2925-position model. Lineage: Bacteria; Bacillati; Bacillota; Bacilli; Caryophanales; Staphylococcaceae. The record is from RNAcentral.